This is a long non-coding RNA of Melanotaenia boesemani (Boeseman's rainbowfish), 574 nucleotides long. RefSeq lists it as uncharacterized. The transcript is spliced from 3 exons. Lineage: Eukaryota; Metazoa; Chordata; Actinopteri; Atheriniformes; Melanotaeniidae. The record is from RefSeq and is a predicted model, not a curated record.
UUGUUUGUGGUCAAGCAUGUCUUGUUUGCUAGUUGCUAUGUCAGAAAACUGUUUGUAGACUUGUCAAAACAUGUUCUACUUUUAUCUCGUCUGGUUCCUUCAAAGCAGCAUGAAAAUUCUAUGUGGUUUUCUUUGUCACGAACACCAAGUGAUUAAGCAUAUUGAUCAUACGAGUACCAAAUAACCAGUCAUGAGUUCUUUAAACUAAUUAUGCAUUAAUGUACAUCAAGCAAGACUAGAAUUACUUCUUAAUUUGGUAUUAUGUGGACAGCGUAGCCUGUUGAUAGGUUAGUUAGAAAACACCUCCUACAUUUCAUUGUGUAUUAAAGGACAUGCAAACUGAAGGGAAACAUUUCUGGAGAACUUUGUUUAAAAAUCCAUACGACCGACUGAACACAGAAGACUUUCUUCUUCUUUUGACUCCUGUUUUUCAACAGAUUUUAACCUGAUUCAGCUCCAUUUUUCAGGGCUGUAAGCUGAACUGCUGUGGGUGAACCAGCCAACUAACCAGUAGGGACUUGAACCACUGCAGGUGAACCAAACAACCACUCCUCAGUCACACAGAAAAAUCUGG